Mytilinidion resinicola is the source of this 81-nucleotide non-coding RNA. Lineage: Eukaryota; Fungi; Ascomycota; Dothideomycetes; Mytilinidiales; Mytilinidiaceae. The record is from the annotation of a RefSeq genome assembly.
GGUGUCAUGGUCUAGUGGUUAGGACAUAUCGUUGUGGAGCACAACCCCGAUAUAACCCGCGUUCGAUUCGCGGUGACGCCA